GACGAACGCUGGCGGCGUGCUUAACACAUGCAAGUCGAACGGAAAGGCCCUGCUUUUGUGGGGUGCUCGAGUGGUGAACGGGUGAGUAACACGUGAGUAACCUGCCCUUGACUUUGGGAUAACUUCAGGAAACUGGGGCUAAUACCGGAUAGGAGCUCCUGCUGCAUGGUGGGGGUUGGAAAGUUUCGGCGGUUGGGGAUGGACUCGCGGCUUAUCAGCUUGUUGGUGGGGUAGUGGCUUACCAAGGCUUUGACGGGUAGCCGGCCUGAGAGGGUGACCGGCCACAUUGGGACUGAGAUACGGCCCAGACUCCUACGGGAGGCAGCAGUGGGGAAUAUUGCACAAUGGGCGGAAGCCUGAUGCAGCAACGCCGCGUGCGGGAUGACGGCCUUCGGGUUGUAAACCGCUUUCGCCUGUGACGAACCGUGAGUGACGGUAAUGGGUAAAGAAGCACCGGCUAACUACGUG
This 468-nucleotide ribosomal RNA is filed under the name uncultured bacterium. Its description in RNAcentral is "partial 16S ribosomal RNA". It matches the Rfam family "Bacterial small subunit ribosomal RNA", at positions 28 to 507 of the family's 1533-position model. The record is from RNAcentral.